UUCCGGUUGAUCCUGCCGGACCUGACUGCUAUCGGAUUGAUACUAAGCCAUGCGAGUCUUUGCAGUAAUGCAAGGCAUACGGCUCAGUAACACGUAGUCAACUUACCCUAUGGACGAGGAUAAUCUCGGGAAACUGAGCAUAAUACUCGAUAGAUCAUAAUGCCUGGAAUGGUUUAUGGUUGAAAUGAUUCGUCGCCAUAGGAUGGGACUGCGGCCUAUCAGCUUGUUGGUGAGGUAAUGGCCCACCAAGGCGAUUACAGGUACGGGCUCUGAGAGGAGAAGCCCGGAGAUGGGUACUGAGACAAGGACCCAGGCCCUAUGGGGCGCAGCAGGCGAGAAAACUUUGCAAUGUGCGAAAGCACGACAAGGUUAAUCCGAGUGAUUUCUGCUAAAGAAAUCUUUUGCAAGUCAUAACACCACUAGUGAAUAAGGGGUGGGCAAGUUCUGGUGUCAGCCGCCGCGGUAAAACCAGCACCUCAAGUGGUCAGGAGGAUUAUUGGGCCUAAAGCAUCCGUAGCCGGCUCUGUAAGUUUUCGGUUAAAUCUAUGUGCUCAACGCAUAGGCUGCCGAAAAUACUGCAUAGCUAGGGAGUGGGAGAGGUAGACGGUACUCGGUAGGAAGGGGUAAAAUCCUUUGAUCUAUCGAUGACCACCUGUGGCGAAGGCGGUCUACCAGAACACGUUCGACGGUGAGGGAUGAAAGCUGGGGGAGCAAACCGGAUUAGAUACCCGGGUAGUCCCAGCUGUAAACGAUGCAGACUCGAUGAUGCAUUGGCAUAUAGCCAGUGCAGUGUCGCAGGGAAGCCGUUAAGUCUGCCGCCUGGGAAGUACGUACGCAAGUAUGAAACUUAAAGGAAUUGGCGGGGGAGCACCACAAGGGGUGAAGCCUGCGGUUCAAUUGGAGUCAACGCCGGG
RNAcentral lists this ribosomal RNA (914 nucleotides) under uncultured marine archaeon. Its description in RNAcentral is "bacterial SSU rRNA". It matches the Rfam family "Archaeal small subunit ribosomal RNA", at positions 1 to 922 of the family's 1478-position model. The record is from RNAcentral.